UAUUUAAUAUCUUAAAUUAAAGAAUUGAUUUUUUAAAUCAAAAAUAAAAUAUAAAUUUUUUAAAUAA
This 67-nucleotide transfer RNA is filed under the name Pambolus sp. QL-2013. RNAcentral describes it as "tRNA-Lys". The record is from RNAcentral. Lineage: Eukaryota; Metazoa; Arthropoda; Insecta; Hymenoptera; Braconidae.